Molecule: ribosomal RNA, 504 nt
Filed under: uncultured bacterium
Lineage: Bacteria
Description: partial 16S ribosomal RNA
Rfam family: Bacterial small subunit ribosomal RNA
Source: RNAcentral
AUUGAACGCUGGCGGCAGGCCUAACACAUGCAAGUCGAACGGUAGCACAGAGAGCUUGCUCUCGGGUGACGAGUGGCGGACGGGUGAGUAACGUCUGGGAAACUGCCCGAUGGAGGGGGAUAACUACUGGAAACGGUAGCUAAUACCGCAUAACGUCGCAAGACCAAAAUGGGGGACCUUCGGGCCUCACACCAUCGGAUGUGCCCAGAUGGGAUUAGCUAGUAGGUGGGGUAAUGGCUCACCUAGGCGACGAUCCCUAGCUGGUCUGAGAGGAUGACCAGCCACACUGGAACUGAGACACGGUCCAGACUCCUACGGGAGGCAGCAGUGGGGAAUAUUGCACAAUGGGCGCAAGCCUGAUGCAGCCAUGCCGCGUGUAUGAAGAAGGCCUUCGGGUUGUAAAGUACUUUCAGCGGGGAGGAAGGCGGUGAAGUUAAUAACUUCACCGAUUGACGUUACCCGCAGAAGAAGCACCGGCUAACUCCGUGCCAGCAGCCGCCGUAA